Molecule: ribosomal RNA, 253 nt
Filed under: uncultured bacterium
Lineage: Bacteria
Description: partial 16S ribosomal RNA
Rfam family: Bacterial small subunit ribosomal RNA
Source: RNAcentral
UACGAAGGUCCCAAGCGUUAUCCGGAUUUAUUGGGUUUAAAGCGUGCGCAGGCGGCUUUGCAAGACAGAUGUGAAAUCCCCGGGCUUAACCUGGGAACUGCAUUUGUGACUGCAUGGCUGGAGUGCGGCAGAGGGGGAUGGAAUUCCGCGUGUAGCAGUGAAAUGCGUAGAUAUGCGGAGGAACACCGAUGGCGAAGGCAAUCCCCUGGGCCUGCACUGACGCUCAUGCACGAAAGCGUGGGGAGCAAACAGG